GGGUGCGAUCAUACCAACACUAAUGCAUCGGAUCCCAUUAGAACUCUGUAGUUAAGUGUGCUUAGGUGAGAGUAGUACUAGGAUGGGUGAUCUCCUAGGAAGUCCUCGUGUUGCACUCG
Molecule: ribosomal RNA, 119 nt
Filed under: Gossypium arboreum
Lineage: Eukaryota; Viridiplantae; Streptophyta; Magnoliopsida; Malvales; Malvaceae
Source: RNAcentral